Molecule: long non-coding RNA, 586 nt
Organism: Mus caroli (Ryukyu mouse)
Lineage: Eukaryota; Metazoa; Chordata; Mammalia; Rodentia; Muridae
Source: RefSeq, a predicted model, not a curated record
CAGAGGCCAAGCAGGGCUGAGCCUCGCCCACACGCUGCGACUGUCAGAGACUCACACCUCCAAGAAAUGUAAAGAAUGGUGGUGAAAUCCGUCUUCCAAUCGACCCUACCAAGGCUCAUAUAUUGCCGAAAGAGCCAAGGAAUGUUCUUAGGGAAAAAUAUUAUGGGUCCCUGUGACCUCUUCUUCAACAGCAGUGGCCGGAAGAACAACAGCUGCUGUUCAUAAACCUUGCUUUACACCUCCUGUCAACCAUUGGAAUUUGUCGCUGCUUUGUUUUGAGAUGCUUGAGAGGGCACACCAUGUUUAAAAAGAUUAUAUAAAUGGAACCCCACCAACAGAAAGGACAUUCUUGAAUUGCUACACCAUGCGACACUUCACUGGUCUUUGCUGGUCUUCACUUCAUGGAGAGAGGCACACCAAAGAACUUCUUGUGGUAUUCCAGUUGAUUCUGGCUGCUUCUGAUGACUUAGACUGAUUUGGCAGAGCCUUGUCAUUUCUGCUGGGUCGAGCCACCACUACUGAUUCAUAUUGGUAGUUUACUAUUGAACUGGACGGCUGGCAUCCUGACAAUGAAAAAUGGAAUUGC